Long non-coding RNA from Alligator mississippiensis (American alligator), 1065 nucleotides. RefSeq lists it as uncharacterized. NCBI's taxonomy places the organism in Eukaryota, Metazoa, Chordata, Crocodylia, Alligatoridae. The transcript is spliced from 2 exons. The record is from RefSeq and is a predicted model, not a curated record.
UUGUUGCUGGGGUCCCUAGGCUCAUGGGAGCACAGGGGGCUUACACCCACAUGUCUUGCACCAGAUCCGGGACUCUAAUCAAUUGGGAGAGAUUGUGGCAGAAAGCCACCUUUGUUUCUCCCCCAAAAACUCUGCGCUGUGACAGUUGUGAUUAGGAUGGGCCUAGCAGAGGAUAUACACCUUUACCCUCCCUCUUUGGAUAACCUGAGCUAGAUACAUUCCUGAGGGAGGGGGAAACCUGCUCCCUCUGCCUAUGUGACCGGCAUCACAUACCUGGGUGAGGGGCUUCCUUCCUGGUGGGCUAGAGUCUGCCCGGCAACUAGUGAUAUAUUUCAAAUUGGUUGGCUGACAGCCAACAGGUGCUGGCCUCCAUUGGACCAGGUAAGUGAGGUCACCUGGGUGAUAUAAGUUAAGGACUGCCCGGGAGGAGGGGGCAGCAGCCAUGAGGGAUACUCAAGAACAAAGAAGAGCUGGACCAUCUGAAGCUUGCUCUCUCUCUCAAAACUCAUGAACAAGGAACCGCCUGCCUCCAGAGGGAAUUUCCACCUGCCUCUGGAUGAUACCUAUGCACCCAGAUCUUCUGAACCUCUCUCCACACACCUCCUCCAUAAAAGAAAAAGAAGUCAAAUUUGUGGGGAUGCAUUGGUGCAUCCAAGAACUUUUUAACUGAAUGGAAUGCACAGCCGGUUUCCUUUACAAUGCACCAUUUUUAAGAGUGUGCUGGAUUUGGGAAGGAACCUGUGUUUCUAAACCAUCAUAAAGCAGCAGGGAUGCUGGGAGGGGUGUACUGCAGGAGUGUAAGCUCCUGGAAACACUCUAUACAUAAUUGUCUAUCUGUCUGCCUGUCCAUUGUGCUCCUGGCAAAGCCUGGCCAGCUGUGGACAGCAGGGAAACGCCAAACCAGAAGUUUCUGAGGCAGCACAUCAACCCGUUGACUAGCCCGCCGUAUAAUGACGCCUACUGCAAUCAGAGGAUGAUAGCUCAGAGAAUGACCUUGGGCACCUGCAAGGGUAACAACACCUUCAUCCAUGCAUACUCACUAUCAAUAAAUAGGGUCUGCACUGA